Molecule: non-coding RNA, 99 nt
Filed under: Intrasporangium chromatireducens Q5-1
Lineage: Bacteria; Bacillati; Actinomycetota; Actinomycetes; Micrococcales; Intrasporangiaceae
Also listed under: 1 other name
Description: Intrasporangium sp. Q5-1 Glycine riboswitch aptamer
Rfam family: Glycine riboswitch aptamer
About the family: This family represents the bacterial glycine riboswitch.
Source: Rfam by way of RNAcentral
CGACCCUGCGCGGGAGAGUCCUCGAGGUCCUGUCACCUGCGAGGCGCCGAAGGGGCAACAUCCCCGGAACCUCUCAGGCGCCCGGACUGCGCAGGCGAG